This is a long non-coding RNA of Hippopotamus amphibius kiboko, 194 nucleotides long. RefSeq lists it as uncharacterized. The record is from RefSeq and is a predicted model, not a curated record. NCBI's taxonomy places the organism in Eukaryota, Metazoa, Chordata, Mammalia, Artiodactyla, Hippopotamidae. The transcript has 3 exons.
GAAUGAGUCUUACUCAGGAUACUGAAGUCAUCUAGGAUGGAGAAGAUACUAUGAAUCAUUUACUCCAAGCCUCUACUGUGGAUGUAGAGUGGAAUCUCCAUCCAAGAAGGUGCAACUGCCCAAUGUCAACCCUCCAGGCUUGAACCCUCUGGGCUCGCUCCAAGACCAAAAAGGCUUCCCUUGAGUAGUGUCAG